GUUAGUUUUCCCAAUGAAACAAGGACCCCUGAGCAACGCAUCUCAGGACACGGAGCUCUAGUGACAAGUGCAGGGCUCUCGUCCUAUUCCAGUCUUUCUCAAUGACUUCAGUUAGGAGUCAAAAAGCCUGCUUAUCUACCUGGCAGACAAGAGGGAACUUCCACGCAAAAGAUUUCUUACCAGGUACAAGGGAAUUGGACAACCUUUCUUGCGUUCAGCAAAUUGUACCGUCAAAGAGGAAAAUCCCACAGACUGAAGGAGGAGGAGGAAGAAGAGGAGGAAGAGGAGAAGAAAAAGAAGAAGAAGGAGGAGGAGAAAAGCUGUGUUUACAUUUUAGAAAGCAACCUCGGGGAGACAGCAAACUUCCUGCCUGUGGAGACCACAGUGAAGCCCUCGGGAGCCCUCGGGAGUCCACUGGCUUGUUGGGCCUCUUCCUUAAGCAAACUUGAACCUCACUCACCCUACUCGAAUUAUUCUUCAGUUUGUCGGAGGUGGUCCUGUCCUCCGUGGCCAGCUCCAUCCACUGUGGGUUUGAGGGAAGCCCUCCUGAUUUCGUCACCAUCAUCACACCUGCUGGAGGAUGGUCACGUGCUGGAGCACGCAGGAGUGGUGCUGUGUCUGAAUCUGGCACCGAGCGCAGGCAGGGAGAGGUUCACGUGGUGAGAUCUGCCUUGGGAACCACCCUCUCCAAAGCCGACAUCCUGUGAGAUUCACGAGCAGUGUUCUGAGCCUUCUCAGCAGUGCCUCUUCCUGCUAUGGACGCUCAAUGCCUGUCUGGUUAAUAAAGGACACG
Bos taurus (domestic cattle) is the source of this 793-nucleotide long non-coding RNA. The record is from Ensembl. NCBI's taxonomy places the organism in Eukaryota, Metazoa, Chordata, Mammalia, Artiodactyla, Bovidae.